Molecule: long non-coding RNA, 350 nt
Filed under: Mustela putorius furo (domestic ferret)
Lineage: Eukaryota; Metazoa; Chordata; Mammalia; Carnivora; Mustelidae
Description: lncRNA (ENSMPUG00000031321.1)
Source: RNAcentral
GGACAAUUCAGGCCUUCUGUUUCUUUUUUACUCUGUUUUGGUGAGUUAUAUUUUUUAAGGAAUUUGUACAUUGUACCAAAGUUUUCAAAUAUAUUUCCAUAAAGUUGUUUGUAAUGUUCUCUUAUUUUUUGAUCUCUGUUGUAUUUUUAGUUAUGAACUUUUUCCAUUCCUGAUAUUGUUUGCAGCAUAUCUUUCUCCUUGGCCAUAGGUAAUUGUGGUCUCUAUUACUCCAUCCCGGUUAGAAGCAGAAGCAGAAGUAUGGUUUUUAAUUCCCAAACGCGGUAUUUUAAAAUUUAUUUUUGUUAUUAAUUUCUAACAUAAUCAUGUGUCUAAUAAGUCUAACACUUUAU